ACCUGGCACAGUGGUACGUAUGUGCCUGUAGUGCUACUCGGGAGGCUGAGGCUGGAGGAUCGCUUGGGUCCAGGAGUUCUGUGCUGUAGUGCGCUAUGCCGAUCAGAUGUCUGCACUAAGUUCAGCAUCAAUAUGGUGACCUCCCAGGAGCAGGGGGACCACCAGGUUGCCUAAGGAGGGAUGAACUGGCUCACGUCAGAAAUGGAGCAGGUCAAAACUCCCGUGCUGAUUAGUAGUGGGAUCGCACCUGUGAAUAGCCACUGUACUCCAGCCUGGGCAACAUAGAGAGACUCCGUCUCUU
Callithrix jacchus (white-tufted-ear marmoset) is the source of this 301-nucleotide unclassified non-coding RNA. It matches the Rfam family "Metazoan signal recognition particle RNA". Rfam says of the family: The signal recognition particle (SRP) is a universally conserved ribonucleoprotein. It is involved in the co-translational targeting of proteins to membranes. The eukaryotic SRP consists of a 300-nucleotide 7S RNA and six proteins: SRPs 72, 68, 54, 19, 14, and 9. Lineage: Eukaryota; Metazoa; Chordata; Mammalia; Primates; Cebidae. The record is from Ensembl.